Lycium ferocissimum is the source of this 1201-nucleotide long non-coding RNA. RefSeq lists it as uncharacterized. The record is from RefSeq and is a predicted model, not a curated record. The transcript is spliced from 3 exons. Lineage: Eukaryota; Viridiplantae; Streptophyta; Magnoliopsida; Solanales; Solanaceae.
AGUAUAACCACCCUGAAUGUUGGCGCGAGCUGCUAUGUGUUUCAUCUACAUACCAUUUGAAACAUUGUGGCACACUUCUGACAAUAAAGAAGGGAAGAACCCAAAUGAUUACUAACUGUUUGAAGUAUCUUCAGUGUACAGGGACGAACUAUGCUGUGGAAUUCGCCUGGAGUAUGAAAGUAAAAAUACUGCAGUGACUACUGAAAUUGGCUUCUCCAUGGUACUUGAGCAACCAGAGCCAUCACACACUUCUAGACAUUUGCAAGCGUCUGCUAAGCAUAACAUACAACAGACAAGGGACUACACUUGAGCAAUAAGAAUAAAGAUGUUGAGGUGGAUCAAGCGGCAAUGGCAGUUCAAAAGGAAAAUGAAUCUCAAAAUGUUGAGCUGACUAGAGUUUGUGAUAGCCCAUCAAGGAAAUGGACGAUGCUUCAAGAAAGAGAAAGAGAAAAAGAAAGAGAAAUAGAAACAAACAGAGAAAGAUAGGAGGGACAUAUGAGACUAGCUGCUCUCAUUUCACCAACAAGCACGCAUGAUUUUGAUUGGAUCUUAAGAAAGCUCUUCCUUUGCUAGCAAAAAUUUGUCACUGAAAGGAGAAAAUCGAGGAAGCAUCUAUCCAAUCAGAUAUUCAAAACAAAGAAGGUGUAAUGAGGGAGCAAUUACUCAAACAUCAAAGCCAAGUGCAAGUAAGUUUGAGAAUUGGUGAAUUGAGACGGUUUUAAUCUGGAGACAUGGAAUCAUACAUAAUGGUGACUUUUCGUUUCGUUCUUAGAGACCCUGAUUGGGUAUGUCUCUACUCCUCUUGUCUGUUUUCCUGAUUGGCUAUGUCUUUCACUUUCCUCAGUUUCAUGUGAUCGAUAAAACUGAGUCUAAUUGAAUCCGUUGAACAAAGGUUGCAUCCUCCUCUGCUAGUAUUCAUUCGAAUUAUACCUUUACUAGUUAUUCCUAUGGAUAAUCAUGAAGUCUUUAAACUAUCAGGGGACGUAUUGUUUGAAGUAUAAGAAAUUUUAGUGUCUGUAUAAAAUUCCUUAUUACUUGAACGUUCGUUUUUCGUAUAAAACCUACAUAACUAAUAUGAUCUCCGUAUAAUUAAUGCAUUGUUUGGCAUUUGGUAUUAACCUUUGGAUAACUUAAAUUCUACAUAAGUUAUGCAAAAGUUUGUACGGAAAAUUAGAUUUUGUAUUGCUAAUUUUGUUAUAAC